This 1102-nucleotide long non-coding RNA is filed under the name Pan troglodytes (chimpanzee). Its description in RNAcentral is "lncRNA (ENSPTRG00000054045.1)". Lineage: Eukaryota; Metazoa; Chordata; Mammalia; Primates; Hominidae. The record is from RNAcentral.
GAACGUUUCACCCUGCAGGACAACGAGCCAGAGCCUUGCAUACCAGGGGCAGGCAUUAGACCACACCCGCUUUGACUGUUAGACUCAUCUGCAGUGUUUGUGCCACUAGUGAGAUGCGCCUAAUGGGGGACUUCAUCCCCCACCUCACCCUGGUGUAAGUAGUUUACUGGAUGGGAAUUUGGGCUCCUAGAAGUCUUCAUCUUACUAUUUAUGUACCACCUCUGAAUUGAACAGGUGUUAUAAAAGGGUAAACUGAGGCUAAAAGCUACCUCAAGAAGAUGCCUGGAGCAGGGUUCAAGAUCAAUCUUGCUUUUAGUCUCAGCCAUAAACCAUCUGAGCUUUGGGUAAGUCACUUGACCACCAGGCCGGUUUCCUCAUUAUGACAGAAUGGAAUUCUGAAUUCCCUUUCUGUUGUAAUAGUCUGAUUGCACAAUUUUCCCUUAGAGAAGUUUCAUACCUGUUAGAUCUCCUGCUGCCAGGAGCUAACCUCCUGGGAGACAGGUCUUAUCGUCAUCCAGGCAUAUAGGAGGGUGUUGGGAAAACACCUGUAGUGGAUGCUGGAUUGUGCCAUUCAGAGCCAGCUCCCUUUGCUAUUGAAGAACUUAUUUCCCUACAUGUCAAGACUUCUGCUGGCUGAUGGCCCCCAGCUGUGAGCUCUUUCAGGCAUCACCUUUGGCUGCAAAAGGCUCCCUCUCCUGAAGUUACUACCUGCAUCCCUGGAGGCAGACUUCAUCUCAUGUCUUCAUCCAAAGUUUGAACAAAUUGGCUAAGAAGGUGCUAGACAUGUAAAGGGACUAUUUUUUUUCUUAAUUCAAAUGUAGGAGGAGUAUGGAUCUCCAGGAACCAGAAGAGCUGCAUACAUAUAAACAAAGCUCCAAAUUUGGAAGCAGCAGUGAAACUCCACAGCAGUGAAAAGAAAGAAAAAAAGACUAAGCCAGGAAACCUCUUGAAGGCCCAGAGAAGUAGGCACGUAUAUAAGAUGCCCAGACUGGAGCUGCCACAUAGGAGACACUUGGUGAGCUCUCAAGGGAGAUUGGAUGUCUAUGGAGAAUCCACGUACCUAUAUCAUAUUAGUUGGAGCAAAACACAGACUCUGGGAUGA